AGGACGAACGCUGGCGGCGUGCUUAACACAUGCAAGUCGAGCGGAAAGGCCCUUCGGGGUACUCGAGCGGCGAACGGGUGAGUAACACGUGAGCAACCUGCCCCUGGCUCUGGGAUAGCCUCCGGAAACGGGGAUUAAUACCGGACAUGACCUGCUGCCGCAGUGGUGGUCGGGUGGAAAGUUUUUCGGCCAGGGUGGGGCUCGCGGCCUAUCAGGCUUGUUGGGGGGUGACGGCCCACCAAGGCGACGACGGGUA
RNAcentral lists this ribosomal RNA (256 nucleotides) under uncultured bacterium. Its description in RNAcentral is "partial small subunit ribosomal RNA". It matches the Rfam family "Bacterial small subunit ribosomal RNA", at positions 26 to 285 of the family's 1533-position model. The record is from RNAcentral.